UGGCUGGGCGGUAAAGCGCUUGGCUUCUGAACCAGAGGUCCCGGGUUCAAAUCCUGG
Biomphalaria glabrata is the source of this 57-nucleotide non-coding RNA. The record is from Rfam. Lineage: Eukaryota; Metazoa; Mollusca; Gastropoda; Planorbidae.